Molecule: ribosomal RNA, 506 nt
Filed under: uncultured bacterium
Lineage: Bacteria
Description: partial 16S ribosomal RNA
Rfam family: Bacterial small subunit ribosomal RNA
Source: RNAcentral
GAUGAACGCUAGCUACAGGCUUAACACAUGCAAGUCGAGGGGUAACGAGAGGAAAGCUUGCUUUCCUUGUCGACGACCGGCGCACGGGUGAGUAACGCGUAUCCAACCUGCCCCCAACUAGGGAAUAACCUUGCGAAAGUAAGACUAAUACCCUAUAAUUUCCUCAGAUGUCAUCUGACGAGGAAUAAAGAUUUAUCGGUUGUGGAUGGGGAUGCGUCUGGUUAGCUUGUUGGCGGGGUAACGGCCCACCAAGGCAACGAUCAGUAGGGGUUCUGAGAGGAAGGUCCCCCACAUUGGAACGGAGACACGGUCCAAACUCCUACGGGAGGCAGCAGUGAGGAAUAUUGGUCAAUGGGCGGAAGCCUGAACCAGCCAAGUAGCGUGCAGGAUGACGGCCCUAUGGGUUGUAAACUGCUUUUAUACAGGAAUAAAGUUAGCCACGUGUGGUUAUUUGUAGGUACUGUAUGAAUAAGGACCGGCUAAUUCCGUGCCAGCAGCCGCCGUAA